Myxocyprinus asiaticus (Chinese sucker) is the source of this 3389-nucleotide RNA transcript. It is a transcript of the gene named epithelial splicing regulatory protein 2-like, with no coding region annotated. The transcript has 17 exons. NCBI's taxonomy places the organism in Eukaryota, Metazoa, Chordata, Actinopteri, Cypriniformes, Catostomidae. The record is from RefSeq and is a predicted model, not a curated record.
UCUCCUGUCGCACUCUCUCUAUCUCUCUCGUGCCCUUCUCCUGGAAUAAUCUUCUCUCCUUCCUCGUGUACUACAAUUGAGUUUCCUUUUCUUUUGUUUGCUUCUCUUGGAGAAAGGUGAACCCUCGUGUUACUCUUUUAUUUGAUCUUUGUUCUUAAUUGUAGUUUUUACCCUUGUGGUCCCUGAUGGCUUCGCACAGUGAUACUCUGGUGGUGUUCUUUGGGGCAACAGCUGGUGCAAAUGGGGGUAAACUGGGGUCGGAUGAAAGGGAAUUAAUUCUCUUGGUGUGGCAAAUUGUGGAUCUACAAGAGAAGAAGGUGGGCAAGCUUCAGCGGCGUCUAGUCAAGCCGGACAGUGUGGAUCUUACAGACCAGUGUAAGGAGGAGACCGGGCUCACGGCGGAGGAACUGUGUAAGGCCGAGCCGCUGGAGAGCGUCCUGCAGCAGUUUCAUCAGUUGGUGUCAGCUGAAUUGAAGUCUCUGGGCAGAAGCUCCUACACGCUGUGUGUGGACGGACCACUGCUUAUCCGACAGGUGCUGCACCCCGAGGCCUCCAAAAAGAAUCUGGUCUUGCCUGAGUGUUUCUACACAUUUGUGGAUUUGAAGAAAGAGUUUCACAAAUGCUGCCCCAAUGCAGGCCUUGUCAAAGAUCUCACUCUGCCCUCCAUGUUGGACUAUGUGUGUAUUCCAGCAGUGGUGGAUCAGGAGGCAGGAUUGAGGGAGGUGAACACCAUGGUUCUGCUGAUUCUGCAUCUCCUGGCUGAGCCUUACAAUCACAAAUUCUCCACUUUUGAGACCGUAAACAACAAGUUUGAAUCCAGAGCGUGCAGUAAGACAGAAGCUGUGGACAGCGAGACUGUCAUCAGAGCUCGUGGGUUGCCAUGGCAGUCGUCUGAUCAGGACAUCGCUCGCUUUUUCAAGGGCCUCAACAUUGCCAAAGGCGGUGUUGCACUGUGUCUAAAUUCUCAGGGCCGGAGAAACGGGGAGGCUCUGGUGCGCUUCAUAAACUCCGAGCAAAGAGACAUGGCACUGGAUAGACAUAAACACCACAUGGGCAGCAGAUACAUAGAGGUAUAUAAAGCCACAGGGGAGGAAUUUCUGAAGAUUGCUGGAGGCACAUCCAGUGAGGUAGCUCAGUUUCUUUCAAAGGAAAACCAGGUGAUUAUCCGAAUGCGGGGUCUUCCAUUCACUGCUAGUCCUCAGGAUGUCCUGGGGUUCCUGGGUCCAGAGAGCCCUGUGACGGAUGGGACGGAAGGGCUUUUAUUUUUGAAGUACCCUGAUGGACGUCCCACAGGUGACGCUUUUGUUCUCUUUGCCUGUGAGGAAUAUGCGCAGAACGCCCUAAAGAAGCACAAACAAAUCCUUGGCAAGAGAUACAUCGAGCUGUUCCGCAGCACUGCAGCUGAGGUCCAACAGGUGUUGAAUCGCUACAUGUCCACACCACUGAUCUCCACUCUGCCGCCACCUCCCCCUCCGAUGGUUUCUGUGCCUGUUCUAGCCACGCCACCCUACAUUGCAACUGGCAGCACACGAGACUGCAUCAGGCUGAGAGGUCUGCCGUACACCGCUGCCAUCGAGGACAUUCUAGAAUUUAUGAGCGAACACACCAUUGAUAUCAAACCACAUGGAGUGCACAUGGUCCUGAACCAGCAGGGUCGACCCUCCGGUGAUGCCUUCAUUCAGAUGAAGUCAGCUGACCGUGCGUUUAUGGUGGCACAGAAGUGCCAUAAGAAGAUGAUGAAGGAUCGUUAUGUGGAGGUGUUCCAGUGCUCCACUGAGGAGAUGAGCUUCGUGCUGAUGGGGGGAACUCUUAACCGCAGCGGCCUGUCACCACCUCCCUGCAAACUGCCCUGUCUCUCUCCACCAACCUACACUGCGUUUCCGGCAACUGCAGCGAUGCUUCCCACUGAAGCAGCGUUUUAUCAGCCCCCUCUGCUGGCCACUCCAAGAACUCCACAGCCACCAACACACAGCCCUGCACCUACUUUAGCCUACUACUCUCCAACACCACAGCUUUACAUGAACAUGAACUACACUGCCUACUACCCCAGUCCUCCAGUCUCGCCCUCCACCAUGAGUUAUUUUGCAGCCCCGCCUGGUUCAGUAGCAGCUGCCAUGGCUGCCCAGACAGCCUCCGCCAUCCUGCCUCCUCAGCCCGGAGCGCUGGUGCGAAUGCAGGGCCUGCCGUACAACGCUGGGGUGAAAGACAUCCUCAGCUUCUUUCAGGGAUAUCAGCUGACACCUGAUUAGGCAGAGUCUUCAGAAGAUGUAUGCUCCUGAAGACUACAGCAGCUUGGUUGGAGUGAGUGAUCAGGGCCGGAGUCUUAUUCAGCCUAAAGAGUGGCUGUGUCUGUAGGGGGAGCUCCUGCAGAUUCAGGCGGACUCUGUGCUCGUGCUGUAUAAUUGGAGUGGUCAGCGUAGUGGGGAGGCUCUGGUGACCUUCCCCAGUGAGAAGGCAGCGAGACGGGCUGUGGCUGAAUGCUCCAACCUUCCCCUCUCCGGCCAACCCAUCCGCCUGGCCUGCUGCGAGUGACUAAACAGGGGCCGCCACACCCACUGAGGGAGGACCGCACUUCAACUAUCUCACCCCUUUCUCCCUCAGAACCCGUCUUGACCGUUUUCCCUCUGUACUUGACUCAAGGUUAUAGUUUAGGAGGGGACCUGGCACAGAAACACUUUGUAUAUGUUCAUGUGCACACAAAAAACUUAACAGCAAACUUAACAAGUGACAGUGCCUUGCUGCUUGUGGACAUGCAAGUGUUUGUGAUAGAGAGCAAAUGCAUGAAUGCUAAACUCUGUUCCUUCUUGUGAUUUGAUGUCAAGAACUCUUCUAUUUCAGGCCUUAAAUUAAUAUAGUAACAUUGAAAGCCUGCAGUUUGUGCAACAAAAACUUCAGCAGAAACUGUACCUUUUUCAACACCACUGCAUCAUUCCUGAAAUGCCAUACCAGGUAGUCCAGUAAACUAAUGUUAGGCCAUAGUCUUUACCUUGCACUAGGGAACCAAAAAGUAAUGCAGUACUACUUAUUGCCAUUAUGAAAGAAAAAAAAAGACUUAUUCAACUACAACUUAAAGUACAGUGGGAUUUUAAGUAAAGACUAAAACUAUUAUGUUUCAUGUAGGAUUAUAAAAAUGGCAUGAUGGUUUUCCUUGACUUUGGACAAAAAUAGCAUUAAAACUUAAUCCUUAUUUAAUAAAGAGCAGACCAAGUGUGUACUCCAUAGACUUGCAGGAACUGAUUUUUAGUUUAAUCCAUUCAGAAAGGUAACUUUUUUUUUUUUUAAUUUAAAGUGAAAGAUCUGCAUGCUUUCAUGCUCGUUCUUUAUAGAUUGAAUUGAAAGAGCUGUGUAUUCUGUUGUAUUCCUGUGUAUCCCCCCCCCCCCCCCACACA